AAACACGUGAAUAAGCGCCUAUAUGGAUUGACAGAGAGAUACCGGUUGGUGGAAGGUAUUGAAUCCAGCAUUCCAGCGCAAUAGUGGGUAGUGAUGAACUACACGGUUCCUGGCCGUUAUCAGUAAUUGAGGGCACCUAUUAUUUGUAGUGGGUGAACUUGGGUGGUACCGCGAAUUGAAGUCUUUUCGUCCCAAUU
This 197-nucleotide non-coding RNA is filed under the name Latilactobacillus curvatus. The record is from RNAcentral. Lineage: Bacteria; Bacillati; Bacillota; Bacilli; Lactobacillales; Lactobacillaceae.